GACGAACGCUGGCGGCGUGCUUAACACAUGCAAGUCGAACGGAAAGGCCCUGCUUUUGUGGGGUGCUCGAGUGGCGAACGGGUGAGUAACACGUGAGUAACCUGCCCUUGACUUUGGGAUAACUUCAGGAAACUGGGGCUAAUACCGGAUAGGAGCUCCUGCUGCAUGGUGGGGGUUGGAAAGUUUCGGCGGUUGGGGAUGGACUCGCGGCUUAUCAGCUUGUUGGUGGGGUAGUGGCUUACCAAGGCUUUGACGGGUAGCCGGCCUGGGAGGGGGACCGGCCACAUUGGGACUGAGAUACGGCCCAGACUCCUACGGGAGGCAGCAGUGGAGAAUAUUGCACAAUGGGCGGAAGCCUGAUGCAGCAACGCCGCGUGCGGGAUGACGGCCUUCGGGUUGUAAACCGCUUUCGCCUGUGACGAAGCGUGAGUGACGGUAAUGGGUAAAGAAGCACCGGCUAACUACGUG
Molecule: ribosomal RNA, 468 nt
Filed under: uncultured bacterium
Lineage: Bacteria
Description: partial 16S ribosomal RNA
Rfam family: Bacterial small subunit ribosomal RNA
Source: RNAcentral